This is a non-coding RNA of Elephantulus edwardii (Cape elephant shrew), 411 nucleotides long. The record is from the annotation of a RefSeq genome assembly. NCBI's taxonomy places the organism in Eukaryota, Metazoa, Chordata, Mammalia, Macroscelidea, Macroscelididae.
AUGCUGUUGCUGCUGCUGCUGCUCCUGGGGCCUGGCUCCGGGCUGGGGGCAUCUGUCUCUCAGCACCCCAGCAGGGCCAUCUGCAGGAACGGAGCCUCGGUGAAGAUCCAGUGUCACGCAGAGGGCGUCCAGGCCACCACGAUGCUGUGGUAUCGGCAGCCGCCCACACAGGGCUUCACCCUCAUUGCAACAUCCAAUCAGGGCGCCGAUGCCACCUACGAGCAAGGCUUCUCCAAGGCCAAGUUCCCCAUCAGCCAUCCCAACCUCAGCUUCUCGGCCCUGACGGUGACCAGUGCCCAGGCCGAAGACAGCAGCCUCUACUUCUGUGGGGCCAUAAUAAAUGUUGGAGAGGAUGAAGUGAUAGAGGGACUUUUAUACAUUGUUGCUCACCUGGUCUUCAUUCAUUGCUGA